GGAAUAUUGCACAAUGGACGAAAGUCUGAUGCAGCAACGCCGCGUGUGCGAUGAAGGCCUUCGGGUCGUAAAGCACUUUUCUGAGGGAAGAGAACGGACUGUACCUCCGGAAUAAGUCUCGGCUAACUACGUGCCCGCAGCCGCGGUAAUCCGUAGGAGGCGAGCGUUAUCCGGAUUUACUGGGCGUAAAGCGUGUGCAGGCGGUUUGGUAAGUUUGAUGUGAAAGCUCCCGGCUCAACUGGGAGAGGUCGUUCAAUACUGCCAGACUAGAGGACGGUAGAGGAGAGUGGAAUUCCCGGUGUAGUGGUGAAAUGCGUAGAUAUCGGGAGGAACACCAGUGGCGAAAGCGGCUCUCUGGGCCGGUCCUGACGCUAAGACACGAAAGCGUGGGUAGCGAAC
This 399-nucleotide ribosomal RNA is filed under the name uncultured bacterium. RNAcentral describes it as "bacterial SSU rRNA". It matches the Rfam family "Bacterial small subunit ribosomal RNA", at positions 358 to 773 of the family's 1533-position model. The record is from RNAcentral.